Molecule: long non-coding RNA, 226 nt
Filed under: Elaeis guineensis (African oil palm)
Lineage: Eukaryota; Viridiplantae; Streptophyta; Magnoliopsida; Arecales; Arecaceae
Description: long non-coding RNA (EGUI_LNC032341)
Source: RNAcentral
UAGGGGGAACUACACAUGAGCACGAACAGACUGGAUGCAGAUAUAGAGGAACUGAAGCAAAGGAUGUACCAGCGGGAUAUGACAAUGGAGGAACUAAAGAAGGUUUUGAACAACGAGGAACGCAAUGAAAAGCUUGAUCAAUUGCACAAGUGGAUGGACAAAUUUGAUGAGGAAGAGGAGAAACUAAAUCAGAUGGUGGAUGAAAAGAUUGGGAGGCUAAGAAAAG